RNAcentral lists this ribosomal RNA (253 nucleotides) under uncultured bacterium. RNAcentral's name for it is "partial 16S ribosomal RNA". It matches the Rfam family "Bacterial small subunit ribosomal RNA", at positions 524 to 776 of the family's 1533-position model. The record is from RNAcentral.
UACGUAGGCAGCGAGCGUUGUUCGGAAUUACUGGGCGUAAAGAGUGUGUAGGCGGUGCUCUAAGUUCGGUGUGAAAUCUCCCGGCUCAACUGGGAGGGUGCGCCGGAAACUGCCGGACUAGAGUGCGGGAGAGGAGAGUGGAAUUCCUGGUGUAGCGGUGAAAUGCGCAGAUAUCAGGAGGAACACCACUGGCGAAGGCAGCUCGCUGGGACGGUACUGACGCUGAGACGCGAAAGCGUGGGGAGCAAACAGG